UACGUAGGGGGGCGAGCGUUGUCCGGAUUCAUUGGGCGUAAAGCGCGCGCAGGCGGUGGCGUGAGCCCGGCGUGAAAGCCCCCCAGCUCAACUGGGGGAGGCCGUCGGAGACCGCGGCACUUGAGGCCGGUAGGGGAGAGCGGAAUUCCCGGUGUAGUGGUGGAAUGCGCAGAGUAUCGGGAGGAACACCAAUGGCGAAGGCAGCUGCUGGGACGGUACUGACGCUGAGGCGCGAAAGCGUGGGGAGCAAACAGGG
RNAcentral lists this ribosomal RNA (256 nucleotides) under uncultured bacterium. Its description in RNAcentral is "partial 16S ribosomal RNA". It matches the Rfam family "Bacterial small subunit ribosomal RNA", at positions 524 to 777 of the family's 1533-position model. The record is from RNAcentral.